This 30-nucleotide non-coding RNA is filed under the name Mus musculus (house mouse). Lineage: Eukaryota; Metazoa; Chordata; Mammalia; Rodentia; Muridae. The record is from RNAcentral.
UCGAAUCCAAUCAGGGAGCAGUUGGUGAUC